This 661-nucleotide ribosomal RNA is filed under the name Salmonella enterica subsp. enterica serovar Bovismorbificans. RNAcentral's name for it is "partial 23S ribosomal RNA". It matches the Rfam family "Bacterial large subunit ribosomal RNA", at positions 593 to 1253 of the family's 2925-position model. Lineage: Bacteria; Pseudomonadati; Pseudomonadota; Gammaproteobacteria; Enterobacterales; Enterobacteriaceae. The record is from RNAcentral.
GUGACUGCGUACCUUUUGUAUAAUGGGUCAGCGACUUAUAUUCUGUAGCAAGGUUAACCGAAUAGGGGAGCCGGAGGGAAACCGAGUCUUAAUUGGGCGUUAAGUUGCAGGGUAUAGACCCGAAACCCGGUGAUCUAGCCAUGGGCAGGUUGAAGGUUGGGUAACACUAACUGGAGGACCGAACCGACUAAUGUUGAAAAAUUAGCGGAUGACCUGUGGCUGGGGGUGAAAGGCCAAUCAAACCGGGAGAUAGCUGGUUCUCCCCGAAAGCUAUUUAGGUAGCGCCUCGUGAAUUCAUCUCCGGGGGUAGAGCACUGUUUCGGCUAGGGGGCCAUCCCGGCUUACCAACCCGAUGCAAACUGCGAAUACCGGAGAAUGUUAUCACGGGAGACACACGGCGGGUGCUAACGUCCGUCGUGAAGAGGGAAACAACCCAGACCGCCAGCUAAGGUCCCAAAGUCAUGGUUAAGUGGGAAACGAUGUGGGAAGGCCCAGACAGCCAGGAUGUUGGCUUAGAAGCAGCCAUCAUUUAAAGAAAGCGUAAUAGCUCACUGGUCGAGUCGGCCUGCGCGGAAGAUGUAACGGGGCUAAACCAUGCACCGAAGCUGCGGCAGCGACGCUGAUGCGUUGUUGGGUAGGGGAGCGUUCUGUAAGCCUGCGA